AAAUAAUUGUUUAAUAGAAUAAUUUCUUCGUUCAAUUUUAAUAGGUGAGUUAUUGCGCCAUCUGUGGUUCCACAGGAGAUUGUCUGGUAUGCGAAAAUAGUUCAUGUUCCAGGUAAAACUUUAUUAUUUUCUAAAAACCUUUUCCUUCAAGAACAAAAAUUGAAUUAUUGUUAAAUAAUUAAUAGAGUGUUUUGCUCGUAUUGCGUGGAGCUGCUGGUUGGCGAUGGAUCGAUGUCCGUCAUCAGGCAAAAGACGCCGUGGUUUUGCUUCCUCUGCGCCAGUUUCACCAUCACAAUAAUCCCACGGCCUCCUUCAGCCUCGCUCCGACUGGGCCUUAAAAGUAUUUUAUUUUGUUCACUAGCUAUUUUCCAGAAUAUUCUUUAACAGUUUCUCCGACAGCUGAAAUAAAAGCUUCCUCCACCAAAAUUUAUACACAUCGACAUCUGUCCAAGAAAGGGCAACCUUCUCUUUGCGUCGUCAUACUCCACGACAAUCUCGGAGCCGUCAACUACGCCCUUAAUUCACUGCGACUUGAAUUGGAGUAUGGAGAAGCUUUUUUCGAUUUUUUCCACGUCAAGAAUUGCAUCUAACGCAACAACGAGGAAACGCCACUCUUGUGGGCUGUGGAAAAUGUCGCCAGCUACCACAUAACCAUUUCCAGAUUUCUCCAGAUGGAACCGAUAUUCAACAUGAAGGAUGCCCAAGGUUCCACCAAACAUCGUCUGGUGUCGGAACAGAAUUUCAAUCCGCAAUUGGACGAGCAAUUCAUCAACAACGACCAUUCGGUUCGUCCAUUUCCAGUCUUCCGCCCAGCCGAGAGCCUUUUUUCACCAAAUACUCUUGGAUUCUUGAAGAUAUCGUGGCCAUAAACCAACCCCUGCCAGCCAACUGGCAGGAGAAACACGACCAGAUGCUGUUUCAGCGCGAUAUACUCGAAGUAAGACGAAAACAAUUAAAGCUCCAGCCUUUUUGGAGCAUUACUCGGUCGUCCAGCUGACUCAUAAAACGGCCAAGAAGAAGAGGAAAUUGAGCAGUGAUCUCCGCCCGUGUUGGAAACUUUGCGAAGCCGUCGGCAGUGCUGACGAGGACAGCGACGGAAUUAGUGACGAAACGGGCGACUUUUCGCUUUUCUGACGGAUCAAGCCACCGAUCGUGUUUCCCCGUGCCGUUUCCGGAGUACGUGUUUCAUGUGGAAGAAGCUGAAGUACAUCAAGAACUAAUGAAUUGUAGUUUGCCCGUGUCUCUGUUGAUUAACAUUUUCAACUGCCGUUGAAGAUUUGAAGUUGGUCCGUGUCGUUGGUCCUAAAUAAACCGCGGAUGUACAUUAUACAGCCUAAAUGAUUCAUUCGACGACGAUAUUAUAUAAUGGUCUGAUGGACUAUAUAUGAGCUAAAUAGAUGGCAGAUGGCUGCAUGAUGUUGUCAGUCGACAAAGUCGUGCUUUCAAAAUAGUUUCUUUUUCUCAAUUAUUAUAGCUAGUUAUAUUUUUUACGAAAUUUUGAUCGUGUUAUUGCCGCAUUGUAACUGAGGGUGUAGUUUUAUUUAUUCCUUUGUCCAUGUAUUAUAAUAAGACAAGGGA
This is a long non-coding RNA of Daphnia pulex (common water flea), 1578 nucleotides long. RefSeq lists it as uncharacterized. The record is from RefSeq and is a predicted model, not a curated record. The transcript is spliced from 5 exons. NCBI's taxonomy places the organism in Eukaryota, Metazoa, Arthropoda, Branchiopoda, Diplostraca, Daphniidae.